GAUGAACGCUAGCUACAGGCUUAACACAUGCAAGUCGAGGGGAAACGACAUCGAAAGCUUGCUUUUGGUGGGCGUCGACCGGCGCACGGGUGAGUAACGCGUAUCCAACCUGCCCACCACUUGGGGAUAACCUUGCGAAAGUAAGACUAAUACCCAAUGAUAUCCCACGAAGGCAUCCGAAUGGGAUUAAAGAUUUAUCGGUGAUGGAUGGGGAUGCGUCUGAUUAGCUUGUUGGCGGGGUAACGGCCCACCAAGGCAACGAUCAGUAGGGGUUCUGAGAGGAAGGUCCCCCACAUUGGAACUGAGACACGGUCCAAACUCCUACGGGAGGCAGCAGUGAGGAAUAUUGGUCAAUGGGCGAGAGCCUGAACCAGCCAAGUAGCGUGCAGGAUGACGGCCCUAUGGGUUGUAAACUGCUUUUAUAAGGGAAUAAAGUUAGUCUCGUGAGACUUUUUGCAUGUACCUUAUGAAUAAGGACCGGCUAAUUCCGUG
This 492-nucleotide ribosomal RNA is filed under the name uncultured bacterium. RNAcentral describes it as "bacterial SSU rRNA". It matches the Rfam family "Bacterial small subunit ribosomal RNA", at positions 28 to 507 of the family's 1533-position model. The record is from RNAcentral.